CGCCACUGACCCCCACAAGUCCCACUUUUCAAGUACAGCGGUAACCCCUGUCACUUUUCUCCACAGGAGGUCACCCAGUCUGCGCAUGUCAAUUACCUCCUGUGAUAUUUUGCACACUUGUGUGUCCACUGGCCUCGCCGCCCCCCCUUUCUGAUGGACUGGAGUCAAUUAAGAGCAUACCAGAGCUUUCAACGAAAAGAAGAAGAACAAGAGACGGGAGUCAGUGACCUCACAGCAAAAGACCGAAUCAGGUAGAGGGAGGCAUGUGCGACUGAAGUCUGAGCAAGACAUGAUGGAUUUCCCGGUUGCGGGUUUGAUGAUAAAUAUGAAAAGACCAUUUAUUAAAGCUUGGCUGAAUGCAGCAAUGCUCCUUCAAAGAUCUGUCUCCUUGUCUUCAGCCUGGGAUGGCACAUCUGGGUGUUUUGUAGAUCUAGGCCAGACAUUUCAUCAUCCAAGUCCUCAGAGGAGACGUUAGUCGCAGUCCCGCACUGACAUGAGUGCAGCUUUGCUGUUUUUCAGUUCUGAGUCUGUAGAAGCCAGAUAAAAGACAAGACAAGAGGUCAGGAAGUCACGAGAGAGAUUGGGAUGAUUCUUCAACAUUCCUCCUUGUCCAACACAUUUAAAACGAUACAAGGUGGAGUAAACGAUGACAGAUUUUUCUUUUUU
Long non-coding RNA from Cyprinus carpio carpio, 666 nucleotides. NCBI's taxonomy places the organism in Eukaryota, Metazoa, Chordata, Actinopteri, Cypriniformes, Cyprinidae. The record is from Ensembl.